RNAcentral lists this ribosomal RNA (953 nucleotides) under Salmonella enterica. Its description in RNAcentral is "partial 23S ribosomal RNA". It matches the Rfam family "Bacterial large subunit ribosomal RNA", at positions 1243 to 2179 of the family's 2925-position model. Lineage: Bacteria; Pseudomonadati; Pseudomonadota; Gammaproteobacteria; Enterobacterales; Enterobacteriaceae. The record is from RNAcentral. RNAcentral also lists the same sequence under 1 other name.
UAAGCCUGUGAAGGUGUGUCGUGAGGCAUGCUGGAGGUAUCAGAAGUGCGAAUGCUGACAUAAGUAACGAUAAAGCGGGUGAAAAGCCCGCUCGCCGGAAGACCAAGGGUUCCUGUCCAACGUUAAUCGGGGCAGGGUGAGUCGACCCCUAAGGCGAGGCCGAAAGGCGUAGUCGAUGGGAAACGGGUUAAUAUUCCCGUACUUGGUGUUACUGCGAAGGGGGGACGGAGAAGGCUAUGUUGGCCGGGCGACGGUUGUCCCGGUUUAAGCGUGUAGGUGUGUGUUCCAGGUAAAUCCGGUUCACUUUAACACUGAGGCGUGACGACGAGGCACUACGGUGCUGAAGCAACAAAUGCCCUGCUUCCAGGAAAAGCCUCUAAGCAUCAGGUAACAUCAAAUCGUACCCCAAACCGACACAGGUGGUCAGGUAGAGAAUACCAAGGCGCUUGAGAGAACUCGGGUGAAGGAACUAGGCAAAAUGGUGCCGUAACUUCGGGAGAAGGCACGCUGACACGUAGGUGAAGUGAUUUACUCAUGGAGCUGAAGUCAGUCGAAGAUACCAGCUGGCUGCAACUGUUUAUUAAAAACACAGCACUGUGCAAACACGAAAGUGGACGUAUACGGUGUGACGCCUGCCCGGUGCCGGAAGGUUAAUUGAUGGGGUCAGCGCAAGCGAAGCUCCUGAUCGAAGCCCCGGUAAACGGCGGCCGUAACUAUAACGGUCCUAAGGUAGCGAAAUUCCUUGUCGGGUAAGUUCCGACCUGCACGAAUGGCGUAAUGAUGGCCAGGCUGUCUCCACCCGAGACUCAGUGAAAUUGAACUCGCUGUGAAGAUGCAGUGUACCCGCGGCAAGACGGAAAGACCCCGUGAACCUUUACUAUAGCUUGACACUGAACAUUGAGCCUUGAUGUGUAGGAUAGGUGGGAGGCUUUGAAGCGUGGACGCCAGUCUGC